Ochotona princeps (American pika) is the source of this 103-nucleotide small nuclear RNA. NCBI's taxonomy places the organism in Eukaryota, Metazoa, Chordata, Mammalia, Lagomorpha, Ochotonidae. The record is from RefSeq and is a predicted model, not a curated record.
AAAGUUUAUUCAUGCUUGCUUUGGCAGCACACUGAAACAGAGAAGAUUAGCAUGGCCCCUGCGCAAGGAUGACAGGCAAAUUGGUCAAGUGUUCCAUAUUUUA